CUACGGAGGGUCCGAGCGUUAUCCGGAAUCAUUGGGUUUAAAGGGUCCGUAGGCGGGAAUCUAAGUCAGUGGUGAAAUCUUGCAGCUCAACUGUAAAAUUGCCAUUGAUACUGGAUUUCUUGAAUUAGUGUGAAGCGGUUAGAAUGUGUAGUGUAGCGGUGAAAUGCAUAGAUAUUACACAGAAUACCAAUUGCGAAGGCAGAUCACUAACACUAUAUUGACGCUAAGGGACGAAAGCGUGGGGAGCGAACAGGAUUAGAUACCCCAGUAGUCC
This 274-nucleotide ribosomal RNA is filed under the name uncultured bacterium. RNAcentral describes it as "partial 16S ribosomal RNA". It matches the Rfam family "Bacterial small subunit ribosomal RNA", at positions 523 to 796 of the family's 1533-position model. The record is from RNAcentral.